CGGGUGGUAAUGCCGGAUGUUCCACAUGAUCGCAUGUGAUUGUGGGAAAGAUUUUAUCGGCGUGGGAUGGGGUCGCGUCCUAUCAGCUUGUUGGUGAGGUAACGGCUCACCAAGGCUUCGACGGGUAGCCGGCCUGAGAGGGCGACCGGCCACAUUGGGACUGAGAUACGGCCCAGACUCCUACGGGAGGCAGCAGUGGGGAAUAUUGCACAAUGGGCGCAAGCCUGAUGCAGCGACGCCGCGUGAGGGAUGGAGGCCUUCGGGUUGUAAACCUCUUUUGUUUGGGAGCAAGCCUUCGGGUGAGUGUACCUUUCGAAUAAGCGCCGGCUAACUACGUGCCAGCAGCCGCGGUAAUACGUAGGGCGCAAGCGUUAUCCGGAUUUAUUGGGCGUAAAGGGCUCGUAGGCGGCUCGUCGCGUCCGGUGUGAAAGUCCAUCGCUUAACGGUGGAUCUGCGCCGGGUACGGGCGGGCUGGAGUGCGGUAGGGGAGACUGGAAUUCCCGGUGUAACGGUGGAAUGUGUAGAUAUCGGAA
RNAcentral lists this ribosomal RNA (533 nucleotides) under Bifidobacterium bifidum. RNAcentral's name for it is "bacterial SSU rRNA". It matches the Rfam family "Bacterial small subunit ribosomal RNA", at positions 157 to 702 of the family's 1533-position model. The record is from RNAcentral. Lineage: Bacteria; Bacillati; Actinomycetota; Actinomycetes; Bifidobacteriales; Bifidobacteriaceae.